UCAGAUAAGCCUGGAGCUGCCGUUUCUUCUCCCCUCACAACGUCCCAUCCCCAUCCCCAUCGCCGGCGCCCCUCCCUCCCCAUAAUCGGCGCCCUCUCUCCCAUCCCCAUCCCCGUCGCCAGCGCCCCUUCCCUCCCUGUCGUCGGCGCGACGAGCCGCGAUCUUGAGGCGCGGGAGGAGAAGAAACACGCGCGCAGAGAGGGCGAUUUGGGGAUGAAGCGCGCCGGGAGGAACCGCGCGGCGCAGACACGCCUCAGCAAUGCGCCGUGCCCUCGUUUCUCCACGCCACCCCACCUCGAUAGCAUUGAAGAACGGGUGACCAAGUUUGGUCACAUGCGCUCGCGAUUUGUGGGCCAACAGUAG
This 363-nucleotide long non-coding RNA is filed under the name Oryza sativa Indica Group (long-grained rice). RNAcentral describes it as "lncRNA OsZS97_11G011810". Lineage: Eukaryota; Viridiplantae; Streptophyta; Magnoliopsida; Poales; Poaceae. The record is from RNAcentral.